RNAcentral lists this unclassified non-coding RNA (239 nucleotides) under uncultured Capnodiales. RNAcentral describes it as "sequence contains ITS2". The stretch from base 1 to 52 matches the Rfam family "5.8S ribosomal RNA", at positions 103 to 154 of the family's 154-position model. Lineage: Eukaryota; Fungi; Ascomycota; Dothideomycetes; Capnodiales. The record is from RNAcentral.
AACGCACAUUGCGCCCUCUGGUAUUCCGGGGGGCAUGCCUGUUCGAGCGUCAUUACACCACUCAAGCCUCGCUUGGUAUUGGGCGCCGCGCCUGCCGCGCGCCUUAAUGUCUCCGGCUGAGCUCAUCGUCUCUUAGCGUUGUGGCAAACAAUGUUCGCUUAUGAGAUUGAGGGGUUCGCGCCGUCAAACAUCUUCUAAAGGUUGACCUCGGAUCAGGUAGGGAUACCCGCUGAACUUAA